Molecule: ribosomal RNA, 492 nt
Filed under: uncultured bacterium
Lineage: Bacteria
Description: partial 16S ribosomal RNA
Rfam family: Bacterial small subunit ribosomal RNA
Source: RNAcentral
AGUGAACGCUGGCGGUAGGCCUAACACAUGCAAGUCGAACGGCAGCACAGUAAGAGCUUGCUCUUACGGGUGGCGAGUGGCGGACGGGUGAGGAAUACAUCGGAAUCUACUUUUUCGUGGGGGAUAACGUAGGGAAACCUACGCUAAUACCGCAUACGACCUACGGGUGAAAGCAGGGGAUCUUCGGACCUUGCGCGAUUGAAUGAGCCGAUGUCGGAUUAGCUAGUUGGCGGGGUAAAGGCCCACCAAGGCGACGAUCCGUAGCUGGUCUGAGAGGAUGAUCAGCCACACUGGAACUGAGACACGGUCAAGACUCCUACGGGAGGCAGCAGUGGGGAAUAUUGGACAAUGGGCGCAAGCCUGAUCCAGCCAUACCGCGUGGGUGAAGAAGGCCUUCGGGUUGUAAAGCCCUUUUGUUGGGAAAGAAAAGCAGCAGGUUAAUACCCCGCUGUUCUGACGGUACCCAAAGAAUAAGCACCGGCUAACUUCGUG